RNAcentral lists this long non-coding RNA (241 nucleotides) under Sorghum bicolor (sorghum). RNAcentral describes it as "long non-coding RNA (SBIC_LNC007385)". Lineage: Eukaryota; Viridiplantae; Streptophyta; Magnoliopsida; Poales; Poaceae. The record is from RNAcentral.
AGGCAGGCGCGCUCCCUCUCCUCUCUCACCGCCAACCGGGCCCCGCGCGUCAGUCUCCCCUAUCCCACCUUCCUUCUUCUUCCCAGCCGAGUCGCGAGCAGGGGAAGCUUCCUUCCCGAGCCAAAACCGUAAUCCCGCGAUCCCUUGCCUUUUUCGAGGAAUCAAACCUCUAUAAAGUUCCUAAGCACCCCGAGGGACCCCUUUCGCACCCACGGAGUUCUAUCCGAGCCCUAGCCGUCGC